UACAGGGGGUGCAAACGUUGCUCGGAAUCAUUGGGCGUAAAGCGCACGUAGGCGGUCUGUUAUGUCGGAUGUGAAAGCCCUUGGCUUAACUGAGGAAGUGCAUUCGAAACUUCUGAGCUGGAGUGCUGGAGAGGAAGGCGGAAUUCUCGGUGUAGAGGUGAAAUUCGUAGAUAUCGAGAGGAACACCGGUGGCGAAGGCGGCCUUCUGGACAGCAACUGACGCUGAGACGCGAAAGCGUGGGGAGCAAACAGG
RNAcentral lists this ribosomal RNA (253 nucleotides) under uncultured bacterium. RNAcentral describes it as "partial 16S ribosomal RNA". It matches the Rfam family "Bacterial small subunit ribosomal RNA", at positions 524 to 776 of the family's 1533-position model. The record is from RNAcentral.